AAAAAUAAGAUGCUGAAUUCAAAGCAUUUUGAAAAUGACACACUUCCUGCUGCCAGUUGGUGGCGCUGUAACUUUGACUCCUAAUAGUCACAUAUAUGCGAUCGGCAUCAUACAUCGAACAAACCAAUGAAGUUUGAUCAAACUCAGGCGAUGUAUGUGGAUGUUAUUAGACAUUUCCUGUUUCUCAUUUUUUGCCCUAAUUUCAACGCCUCGCCACGGACAAACCGUUUGAGAUAUCAAAAAUCCCCUGGCAAUUUUUCAUCCCCAAUGUCUUGACAUCAUGUUCACCGAGUUUCAUGGAGAAUGGGUGGAAAACCUCAGAGGAGUAUUUCAAAUUCCAGAGCAUGCUUUUUUUAAACAGCCCUGAAUAGCUCACUUCCUGUUGGGCGGAGCCUAUGACAUAGAGCGCGAAAGUUGUUCGGCUCAAUGAGAUCUAUAAGUGUACAGAGUUUCAUAUAAAUACAUGCAAGUAUGUGUGAGCUAUGGUUCAAGAUUUCUGACUGUGUUCCAGGGGGCGCUGUAGAGCCCCUGUGCCACGCCCGGGUCCCAGACUCUGCGGCGUCCUGAUGGCCGCAGGUUCCAAUGUGUGUGCCAAUUUUCA
Cyprinus carpio carpio is the source of this 601-nucleotide long non-coding RNA. The record is from Ensembl. Lineage: Eukaryota; Metazoa; Chordata; Actinopteri; Cypriniformes; Cyprinidae.